UCCUACGGGGCGCAGCAGUGGGGAAUAUUGGGCAAUGGGCGCAAGCCUGACCCAGCAACGCCGCGUGAAGGAAGAAGGCUUUCGGGUUGUAAACUUCUUUUCUUGGGGACGAAGAAAGUGACGGUACCCAAGGAAUAAGCCACGGCUAACUACGUGCCAGCAGCCGCGGUAAUACGUAGGGGGCAAGCGUUAUCCGGAUUUACUGGGUGUAAAGGGAGCGUAGGUGGCAUGGUAAGCCAGAAGUGAAAACCCG
RNAcentral lists this ribosomal RNA (253 nucleotides) under uncultured bacterium. Its description in RNAcentral is "partial 16S ribosomal RNA". It matches the Rfam family "Bacterial small subunit ribosomal RNA", at positions 337 to 604 of the family's 1533-position model. The record is from RNAcentral.